Salvia splendens (bonfire salvia) is the source of this 1084-nucleotide long non-coding RNA. RefSeq lists it as uncharacterized. Lineage: Eukaryota; Viridiplantae; Streptophyta; Magnoliopsida; Lamiales; Lamiaceae. The record is from RefSeq and is a predicted model, not a curated record. The transcript is spliced from 3 exons.
GUGGUCAGAGAUUAGAAGGAAGAGUGAUGGAGGAUUACUACGUUUGAUAUGUGUGUUGAUUUUGCUUUGUGUUUGAUUUUCUUCGUUUUCUUACUUUGUUGCUGCUGAUUUUUUUUGCUCGGGCGUUACUAUUUUUUCGGUAUUUUAGCAACUUUAUCAAUUUGAGAAUUCCUGUAUAAUUGUUGGUAUCAGGAUUUGAUCUUGUCCAUUGCCUAUCAAUUUGAGAAAUUGUAUACGCAAGUUGAACUGCGUCGCUACUCGCUAUAUUCGUCUCAUUUUCUGUAAAUUAUUAUUCAACACUCGUAUCUAUUGUAUUCGAUUGACCAGAUAAUACCUUAUUGAGAAGCUGUUCUUUUAUGGAGUAUUUGUUCACCGUUUUUCUGUAUUUUAGGGGUCUCUGCAUUUCUUAAAUGGAUGAGAUACAUUGAAUCAUGCAGUGACCUAGAAAUUUGUCGAUUAAUUUCUUUGAUCGAUUCUAGUUCGAGGUGAAUUGUGAUACUGUAACGUAUAGUUUCCAAGGAGCUCAAUCCCAUUGAUGAAACGCUUCAAUUCUAUUUAUGAACAAAAAGGACUGAAAUUCAUUCAUGCAUUUAUCUAGUCUCUAAGACCAGGGGCAUUUUUAUUUUUAUGAGAAUCAAAAUUGUUAAUGCAUUUAUCUUUAUCUUGUUGAUGGAACUACCAUUAUAUGCAGAUUGUGGUCCAAGGUUGGACAAAUCACUGCAUCCACGUAAAGCACUAUGCUUUGCUUUAUUCUUUUGCACCUCGAGGCAUAAGCUGAAAGAUCGAUUGCUUGUUGAUAAUCUCAUCUCGCAACCACUUACCAUGGUGCUUAUGCAGAACCUCUCUAGUGGAUUCUUGGGUCCUAUCUAUGGCCUUGACCAUUUGAAACAGCAGAUAAGGCCAAGCGAAGAAUCUACAUGAGAUGUGGCGAUAGCCGAUGCACUGAGGCCUUUGUUGGAAAGAAGCUCAUGCAGAUUGGAGGAUUGACCUUGGCUAGGGCAAGAAUGGAGGACGGGAGAAUCCACAGUCCAUCCCCACAAAUUAAACCCGAUGCAACGGCUGGGAUCAUGAGGCCAGCCUUUGU